CGGAACAUGUGACAACUGUCCUCAUCUGCAUAUGGACAGGUACGCUAUGGUGAGCUGGGUAGAGAAGUUACCGGGCUGGCACCGUGUGAAUGGAGGUUUAAAGAUCAUCGAGAAAUCUCCUAAGUAGCCCUAGGACAUCGUUAGUCUACAGCAAGAGGACUACUGUUUCAUACCGCCCCUUGACUUCGGAAAAUAGCUCAUUGUAAUCAACAGAGACAGGCACCCCUCACUGUCAGUCUGGCUGCUGUGUCCCCAUUUGGUCCAGAUGUGAGAGCAGAGACCAGCAGUGUCACCUCUAACCCUCAGGGCCCGUCGUUAUGAAAAUGGUGUUGUCGUUACCAAGGCCGUCGUGGGGGUUGUGGUCUGUGUUAGUCCCGGGCCUGGCCCUACUGCUGUGCCUGGCCCUGGUCCUGAUGGGCUGUGUGAUCAGGAAGAAGAGAAGGAUGGAGGGAAUGUAUCGGCCCAGUGCGGAGGAGAGCAAACAGACAGGACCACGGGGGGCUGAGAGACCAGGCCUGCCCCUGCCCAAGGAGGAGAGACUCAUCUGAUACCUGCACUCUAGCCUGGACGCUACACACACACAAACUCUCUUUUCCUCCCUCUCUCUCUCACUACCAUUGCCUCACUCUCCUCUACCCUGGACAUGAAGCCAGAAUGGGUUAUUAGUAGUUAUGUAUUGUGUUGUGUAAAGUUAUCUGUAGAUGAAGUGUCUUGUUAAAUAUGCCUGAACAUGCCUGGUGGAUGUGCCAUGUUCUCUCCAGUUUCUCCAACUGUGCUGAUGUUGACAUCAGUGUCAGGGGUGUGUUGUUUACCUGUAGGUGGACUAGUUGUUGACAUGUUUACCUGUAGGUGGACUAGUUGUUUACAUGUUUACCUGUAGGUGGACUAGUUGUUGACAUGUUUACCUGUAGGUGGACUAGUUGUUGACAUGUUUACCUGUAGGUGGACUAGUUGUUGACAUGUUUACCUGUAGGUGGACUAGUUGUUGACAUGGUUACCUGUAGGUGGACUAGAUGUUGACAUGGUUACCUGUAGGUGGACUAGUUGUUGACAUGGUUACCUGUAGGUGGACUAGUUGUUGACAUGGUUACCUGUAGGUGGACUAGUUGUUGACAUGGUUACCUGUAGGUGGACUAGUUGUUGACAUGGUUACCUGUAGGUGGACUAGUUGUUGACAUGGUUACCUGUAGGUGGACUAGUUGUUGACAUGGUUACCUGUAGGUGGACUAGUUGUUGACAUGGUUACCUGUAGGUGGACUAGUUGUUGACAUGGUUACCUGUAGGUGGACUAGUUGUUGACAUGGUUACCUGUAGGUGGACUAGUUGUUGACAUGGUUACCUGUAGGUGGACUAGUUGUUGACAUGGUUACCUGUAGGUGGACUAGUUGUUGACAUGGUUACCUGUAGGUGGACUAGUUGUUGACAUGGUUACCUGUAGGUGGACUAGUUGUUGACAUGGUUACCUGUAGGUGGACUAGUUGUUGACAUGGUUACCUGUAGGUGGACUAGUUGUUGACAUGGUUACCUGUAGGUGGACUAGUUGUUGACAUGGUUACCUGUAGGUGGACUAGUUGUUGACAUGUUUACCUGUAGGUGGACUAGUUGUUGACAUGUUUACCUGUAGGUGGACUAGUUGUUGACAUGUUUACCUGUAGGUGGACUAGUUGUUGACAUGUUUACCUGUAGGUGGACUAGUUGUUGACAUGUUUACCUGUAGGUGGACUAGUUGUUGACAUGUUUACCUGUAGGUGGACUAGUUGUUGACAUGUUUACCUGUAGGUGGACUAGUUGUUGACAUGUUUACCUGUAGGUGGACUAGUUGUUGACAUGUUUACCUGUAGGUGGACUAGUUGUUGACAUGGUUACCUGUAGGUGGACUAGUUGUUGACAUGUUUACCUGUAGGUGGACUAGUUGUUGAUCAUACAGCGAAAAGGGAAUUUUAAAAGUUCCUCUAUAUGCAAAAUGUCUCUUUAUUGUGGCAGUUAUACUGCUACAUGUGUACAAACUAUGAUUUAAGUGUAUCCCGUGUAUAAAGCAUUAGUGUGUGUGUGUUUUUAUAUCUUGAAAACGAAGAGAAGAAUGGUAAGACACUAUGAAUGAUUUCUAAUGCACUUCUGAUGAUAUUAUCCAUGUGAAAAAAAUAAAACUCCUCUCAAAAAGUAUAAAACUUCCA
Molecule: long non-coding RNA, 2174 nt
Organism: Oncorhynchus gorbuscha (pink salmon)
Lineage: Eukaryota; Metazoa; Chordata; Actinopteri; Salmoniformes; Salmonidae
Exons: 3
Source: RefSeq, a predicted model, not a curated record